RNAcentral lists this long non-coding RNA (2991 nucleotides) under Oncorhynchus mykiss (rainbow trout). RNAcentral describes it as "lncRNA (ENSOMYG00000063830.1)". Lineage: Eukaryota; Metazoa; Chordata; Actinopteri; Salmoniformes; Salmonidae. The record is from RNAcentral.
AUGGAACUACACAGCCAAUCCAGUGAGUCAACACAACAGACAGCUCAGUCUAUGGAGCCACACAGCCAAUCCAGUGAGUCAACACAACAGACAGCUCAGUCUAUGGAACCACACAGCCAAGCCAGUGAGUCAACACAACAGACAGCUCAGUCUAUGGAACUACACAGCCAAGCCAGUGAGUCAACACAACAGACAGCUCAGUCUAUGGAACCACACAGCCAAGCCAGUGAGUCAACACAACAGACAGCUCAGUCUAUGGAACUACACAGCCAAGCCAGUGAGUCAACACAACAGACAGCUCAGUCUAUGGAACUACACAGCCAAGCCAGUGAGUCAACACAACAGACAGCUCAGUCUAUGGAACUACACAGCCAAGCCAGUGAGUCAACACAACAGACAGCUCAGUCUAUGGAACUACACAGCCAAGCCAGUGAGUCAACACAACAGACAGCUCAGUCUAUGGAACUACACAGCCAAGCCAGUGAGUCAACACAACAGACAGCUCAGUCUAUGGAACUACACAGCCAAUCCAGUGAGUCAACACAACAGACAGCUCAGUCUAUGGAACUACACAGCCAAUCCAGUGAGUCAACACAACAGACAGCUCAGUCUAUGGAGCCACACAGCCAAUCCAGUGAGUCAACACAACAGACAGCUCAGUCUAUGGAACUACACAGCCAAGCCAGUGAGUCAACACAACAGACAGCUCAGUCUAUGGAACUACACAGCCAAGCCAGUGAGUCAACACAACAGACAGCUCAGUCUAUGGAACUACACAGCCAAUCCAGUGAGUCAACACAACAGACAGCUCAGUCUAUGGAAAUACACAGCCAAUCCAGUGAGUCAACACAACAGACAGCUCAGUCUAUGGAAAUACACAGCCAAUCCAGUGAGUCAACACAACAGACAGCUCAGUCUAUGGAGCCACACAGCCAAUCCAGUGAGUCAACACAACAGACAGCUCAGUCUAUGGAAAUACACAGCCAAUCCAGUGAGUCAACACAACAGACAGCUCAGUCUAUGGAACUACACAGCCAAGCCAGUGAGUCAACACAACAGACAGCUCAGUCUAUGGAAAUACACAGCCAAUCCAGUGAGUCAACACAACAGACAGCUCAGUCUAUGGAAAUACACAGCCAAUCCAGUGAGUCAACACAACAGACAGCUCAGUCUAUGGAGCCACACAGCCAAUCCAGUGAGUCAACACAACAGACAGCUCAGUCUAUGGAAAUACACAGCCAAUCCAGUGAGUCAACACAACAGACAGCUCAGUCUAUGGAGCCACACAGCCAAUCCAGUGAGUCAACACAACAGACAGCUCAGUCUAUGGAGCCACACAGCCAAUCCAGUGAGUCAACACAACAGACAGCUCAGUCUAUGGAACUACACAGCCAAGCCAGUGAGUCAACACAACAGACAGCUCAGUCUAUGGAACUACACAGCCAAGCCAGUGAGUCAACACAACAGACAGCUCAGUCUAUGGAACUACACAGCCAAUCCAGUGAGUCAACACAACAGACAGCUCAGUCUAUGGAGCUACACAGCCAAGCCAGUGAGUCAACACAACAGACAGCUCAGUCUAUGGAACUACACAGCCAAGCCAGUGAGUCAACACAACAGACAGCUCAGUCUAUGGAACUACACAGCCAAGCCAGUGAGUCAACACAACAGACAGCUCAGUCUAUGGAGCCACACAGCCAAGCCAGUGAGUCAACACAACAGACAGCUCAGUCUAUGGAACUACACAGCCAAGCCAGUGAGUCAACACAACAGACAGCUCAGUCUAUGGAACUACACAGCCAAGCCAGUGAGUCAACACAACAGACAGCUCAGUCUAUGGAGCCACACAGCCAAGCCAGUGAGUCAACACAACAGACAGCUCAGUCUAUGGAGCCACACAGCCAAGCCAGUGAGUCAACACAACAGACAGCUCAGUCUAUGGAGCCACACAGCCAAGCCAGUGAGUCAACACAACAGACAGCUCAGUCUAUGGAACUACACAGCCAAGCCAGUGAGUCAACACAACAGACAGCUCAGUCUAUGGAGCCACACAGCCAAGCCAGUGAGUCAACACAACAGACAGCUCAGUCUAUGGAACUACACAGCCAAGCCAGUGAGUCAACACAACAGACAGCUCAGUCUAUGGAGCCACACAGCCAAGCCAGUGAGUCAACACAACAGACAGCUCAGUCUAUGGAGCCACACAGCCAAGCCAGUGAGUCAACACAACAGACAGCUCAGUCUAUGGAACUAUACAGCCAAGCCAGUGAGUCAACACAACAGACAGCUCAGUCUAUGGAGCCACACAGCCAAGCCAGUGAGUCAACACAACAGACAGCUCAGUCUAUGGAACUACACAGCCAAGCCAGUGAGUCAACACAACAGACAGCUCAGUCUAUGGAGCCACACAGCCAAGCCAGUGAGUCAACACAACAGACAGCUCAGUCUAUGGAACCACACAGCCAAGCCAGUGAGUCAACACAACAGACAGCUCAGUCUAUGGAAAUACACAGCCAAGCCAGUGAGUCAACACAACAGACAGCUCAGUCUAUGGAACUACACAGCCAAGCCAGUGAGUCAACACAACAGACAGCUCAGUCUAUGGAACCACACAGCCAAGCCAGUGAGUCAACACAACAGACAGCUCAGUCUAUGGAGCCACACAGCCAAGCCAGUGAGUCAACACAACAGACAGCUCAGUCUAUGGAGCCACACAGCCAAGCCAGUGAGUCAACACAACAGACAGCUCAGUCUAUGGAACUACACAGCCAAGCCAGUGAGUCAACACAACAGACAGCUCAGUCUAUGGAGCCACACAGCCAAGCCAGUGAGUCAACACAACAGACAGCUCAGUCUAUGGAACAACAUUUAGAUCUCUCUAGACUGAGAGGCCUAUCUGAGAUUUUGGGGACUGCAGAGUCAAGGUGUAGUCCAUCCUUGAGAGAGGGGAGGAAGAAAAGAAGAGGGAGGAUUGGGAAUAGAGAGAGAUAG